CUGGACACAGGCACAUGCAAGCAGGCAAGGCAAUGAGUUUUCCUCUGCACUACUGGGGUAUCAGCAGAAUGAGUAAAAAAGGUGUUUCAAGAGCCCUACUUAAAAACAAACUAUACCUUUUAUUUCUUUUCAUUAUUGGAGAAAAAGGAUUGACCUCCUGGAACUUGUUUGAGCAGCUCUGCUUCCCUCAGAGCAUUACUGAACAUUGUUUUAAAAGAGUUCAGCUGAUCCUACUGUCCUUGAACUCAAUAGACAUGGAUUGGCUAAGGAAAAACCCAAAGAAGCAUACGCACAAAAGGAACAUCUGCUUCGAGAAGGAACAUCUUUAA
Molecule: long non-coding RNA, 329 nt
Filed under: Parus major (Great Tit)
Lineage: Eukaryota; Metazoa; Chordata; Aves; Passeriformes; Paridae
Description: lncRNA (ENSPMJG00000014286.1)
Source: RNAcentral